GGCCUAACACAUGCAAGUCGAGCGCACCCUUCGGGGCGAGCGGCGGACGGGUUAGUAACGCGUGGGAAUGUACCCUUCUCUAUGGAAUAGCCUCGGGAAACUGAGAGUAAUACCAUAUACGCCCUUCGGGGGAAAGAUUUAUCGGAGAAGGAUCAGCCCGCGUAAGAUUAGAUAGUUGGUGGGGUAAUGGCCUACCAAGUCUACGAUCUUUAGCUGGUUUUAGAGGAUGAUCAGCAACACUGGGACUGAGACACGGCCCAGACUCCUACGGGAGGCAGCAGUGGGGAAUCUUAGACAAUGGGCGCAAGCCUGAUCUAGCCAUGCCGCGUGUGUGAUGAAGGCCUUAGGGUCGUAAAGCACUUUCGCCAGGGAUGAUAAUGACAGUACCUGGUAAAGAAACCCCGGCUAACUCCGUGCCAGCAGCCGCGGUAAUACGGAGGGGGUUAGCGUUGUUCGGAAUUACUGGGCGUAAAGCGCACGUAGGCGGAUCAGAAAGUUGGGGGUGAAAUCCCGGGGCUCAACCCCGGAACUGCCUCCAAAACUCCUGGUCUUGAGUUCGAGAGAGGUGAGUGGAAUUCCGAGUGUAGAGGUGAAAUUCGUAGAUAUUCGGAGGAACACCAGUGGCGAAGGCGGCUCACUGGCUCGAUACUGACGCUGAGGUGCGAAAGUGUGGGGAGCAAACAGGAUUAGAUACCCUGGUAGUCCACACCGUAAACGAUGAAUGCCAGUCGUCGGGCAGUAUACUGUUCGGUGACACACCUAACGGAUAAGCAUCC
Molecule: ribosomal RNA, 776 nt
Filed under: Rhodobacteraceae bacterium ACEMC 26-8
Lineage: Bacteria; Pseudomonadati; Pseudomonadota; Alphaproteobacteria; Rhodobacterales; Paracoccaceae
Description: bacterial SSU rRNA
Rfam family: Bacterial small subunit ribosomal RNA
Source: RNAcentral